ACGAACCGUGCGAACGUUAUUCGGAAUCACUGGGCUUAAAGCGCGUGUAGGCGGGACGGCACGUCGGUCGUUGAAAGCCCCCGGCUCAACCGGGGAAUUGGCGCCGAUACGACCGUCCUGGAGGGACGUAGGGGGACCUGGAACUUCCGGUGGAGCGGUGAAAUGCGUUGAGAUCGGAAGGAACGCCCGUGGCGAAAGCGAGGUCCUGGACGUUUUCUGACGCUGAGACGCGAAAGCCAGGGGAGCGAACGGGAUUAGAUACCCCGGUAGUCCUGGCCGUAAACGAUGGGCACUGGAUAGGGGGCUCGCCGAGGGGCUCCCUGUCGUAGCGAAAGCGUGAAGUGCCCCGCCUGGGGAGUAUGGUCGCAAGGCUG
Molecule: ribosomal RNA, 374 nt
Filed under: uncultured bacterium
Lineage: Bacteria
Description: bacterial SSU rRNA
Rfam family: Bacterial small subunit ribosomal RNA
Source: RNAcentral